UGGGGAAUUUUGGACAAUGGGCGAAAGCCUGAUCCAGCAAUGCCGCGUGUGUGAAGAAGGCCUUCGGGUUGUAAAGCACUUUUGUCCGGAAAGAAAUCCUUGGCUCUAAUACAGUCGGGGGAUGACGGUACCGGAAGAAUAAGCACCGGCUAACUACGUGCCAGCAGCCGCGGUAAUACGUAGGGUGCAAGCGUUAAUCGGAAUUACUGGGCGUAAAGCGUGCGCAGGCGGUUUGCUAAGACCGAUGUGAAAUCCCCGGGCUCAACCUGGGAACUGCAUUGGUGACUGGCAGGCUAGAGUAUGGCAGAGGGGGGUAGAAUUCCACGUGUAGCAGUGAAAUGCGUAGAGAUGUGGAGGAAUACCGAUGGCGAAGGCAGCCCCCUGGGCCAAUACUGACGCUCAUGCACGAAAGCGUGGGGGAGCAAACAGGAUUAGAUACCCUGGUAGUCCACGCCCUAAACGAUGUCAACUAGUUGUUGGGGAUUCAUUUCCUUAGUAACGUAGCUAACGCGUGAAGUUGACCGCCUGGGGGAGUACGGUCGCAAGAUUAAAACUUAAAUGAAUUGACGGGUCAUAGCUGUUUCCU
RNAcentral lists this ribosomal RNA (586 nucleotides) under uncultured bacterium. RNAcentral's name for it is "partial 16S ribosomal RNA". It matches the Rfam family "Bacterial small subunit ribosomal RNA", at positions 355 to 932 of the family's 1533-position model. The record is from RNAcentral.